RNAcentral lists this ribosomal RNA (1346 nucleotides) under uncultured bacterium. Its description in RNAcentral is "bacterial SSU rRNA". It matches the Rfam family "Bacterial small subunit ribosomal RNA", at positions 28 to 1381 of the family's 1533-position model. The record is from RNAcentral.
GAUAAACGCUGGCGGCGUGCAUAACACAUGCAAGUCGAACGAUGAACCUUAUUAGAUUUCUUCGGAAUGAAAAUAAGUGGAUUAGUGGCGAACGGGUGAGUAACACGUGAGUAACCUGCCUUACACAAGGGGAUAGCCUUUGGAAACGAAGAAUAAUACCCUAUAAAGUUAGUCAAUCGCAUGGUAGACUAACCAAAGAUUUAUCGGUGUAAGAUGGACUUGCGUCUGAUUAGCUAGUUGGUGAGAUAAAAGCCCACCAAGGCGACGAUCAGUAGCCGGCUUGAGAGAGUGUACGGCCACAUUGGGACUGAGACACGGCCCAAACUCCUACGGGAGGCAGCAGUGGGGAAUUUGCACAAUGGGGGAAACCCUGAUGCAGCGACGCCGCGUGAUUUAGAAGGCCUUCGGGUUGUAAAAAUCUUUUUUAUGGGAUGAAAAUGACAGUACUAUAAGAAUAAGGUCCGGCUAAAUACGUGCCAGCAGCCGCGGUAAUACGUAUGGACCGAGCGUUGUCCGGAAUCAUUGGGCGUAAAGGGUACGUAGGCGGCCUAGUAAGUUAGGAGUGAAAUAAUAUAGCUCAACUAUAUAAAGCUUUUAAAACUGUUAGGCUUGAGAGAUGAAAGGGAAAGUGGAAUUCCUAGUGUAGCGGUGAAAUGCGCAGAUAUUAGGAAGAAUACCGGUGGCGAAGGCGACUUUCUGGUCAUCAUCUGACGCUGAGGUACGAAAGCGUGGGUAGCAAACAGGAUUAGAUACCCUGGUAGUCCACGCUGUAAACGAUGAGUGUUAGGUUCUUGGAAUAAUCUGGGAGCCGCAGCUAACGCAUUAAACACUCCGCCUGGGGAGUACGCACGCAAGUGUGAAACUCAAAGGAAUUGACGGGGACCCGCACAAGCAGCGGAGCAUGUGGUUUAAUUCGACGCAACGCGAAGAACCUUACCAAGUCUUGACAUAAUACGGAGGGAGUUAGAGAUAAUUCCUUAUCACUUCGGUGAGCUGUAUUACAGGUGGUGCAUGGUUGUCGUCAGCUCGUGUCGUGAGAUGUUGGGUUAAGUCCCAUAACGAGCGCAACCCCUAUCGUUAGUUACCAUCAUUAAGUUGGGGACUCUAGCGACACUGCCGGUGAUAAACCGGAGGAAGGUGGGGACGACGUCAAAUCAUCAUGCCCUUUAUGACUUGGGCUACACACGUGCUACAAUGGCAGAUACAGAGGGCAGCGAAAGAGCGAUCUGAAGCGAAACUCACAAAGUCUGUCCCAGUUCGGAUUGUACUCUGCAACUCGAGUACAUGAAGUUGGAGUUGCUAGUAAUCGCGAAUCAGAAUGUCGCGGUGAAUGAGUUCCCGGGUCU